CAUGCAUGGUGGAAGUUGAUCAAGACUAUCAAUUCUUCGAGAGGUCCAGUGACUAUAUACUCGCAAGAAGGAUAUGGUAUGGAAUAGCUUUCUACACCUCUGUGCUGGCAGAUUUGUAAAAAUGGAAGUUGUUUCAGUGUGGAGAGAGACAGACAUUUUGUAUGGUCAGGUAAAAUUUGUUUUUGAGGUCACAAGUAAGUCUCAAUAAAGGCAUUUCCAUUUAUAGUUGUAUAGCUAGCUAGUUAAUGGAAAGUUGGUGGUUCUACUCUUAAUAGGUGCCUCUCUUUGUCCAAAACAAUGCCAUUAAGGCAUAUUUUCCUUUAUCUGUAAAGCUGGACAGUCACUAUAAUAAAAUAAGUAUUGUAUCUGUUUAAUUUCAAAAGAAUUUAGCUUAAAGUGUUAAAUUUUGCAAUGUUGUUCUGUUAACACCAGUGACAUUUCAGAAAACCCAAACAUGUUGGCUGGAUUGCUAGGUUCAUGUCGGAAGUUGUGAUGGAGGAUUUAUGUUGGAAUGUGGAUGGUUGUGUGACAUUGGUGAAAUGAUUGUUGUGACAUUGGUGAAAUGUGAUUGUGCUGGAAAGUGAAAUGAUGGAGCAUUGGUAAAUUAUCUAUUUUGAAUUUGUGUAAGUCACAAGACAGCUUGAGUGCAACAUGUAUUGAGGUUCAAUUUUUCAAUAGUUAAGUGAUAAAUCAGUUACACAUUCCUUAGUUGAUUAAAUUGUCUUUUGUAGCUUUAAAGUCUAUAACCAUGUAGACUGGAAUGUCCGUUGUUUUACUCUGGUACCAGCCCUUGCCUGAAACAAUGUACGUUUGGGACAUAUUUUCUACCAAUAAAGGUGCCCAGUCGCCAUAUGACUUGAGAACCAACAAAACAAUUGUUAUCAUUUUAAUUAAGAAUUUGUUUAAAAUAUGGUCAAUGUUAACUUUUUGAGAUUGGAAUGUUGUUUUGUUAACCCAGUGACUUUUCAGUAAACCUUUAGACCAUGGAGGCUGAAUGGCUUAAGUGGCAUAAAAUGUGAUGAUGGAUCGAUGUCAGAUAAUGGAUGGUUAAAGCACACCUGUGACAUGGUAAUGAAGAACUUGACAUGCAUGGUGGAAGUUGAUCAAGACUAUCAAUUCUUCGAGAGGUCCAGUGACUAUAUACUCGCAAGAAGGAUAUGGUAUGGAAUAGCUUUCUACACCUCUGUGCUGGCAGAUUUGUAAGAAUGGAAGUUGUUUCAGUGUGGAGAGAGACAGACAUUUUGUAUGGUCAGGUAAAAUUUGUUUUUGAGGUCACAAGUAAGUCUCAAUAAAGGCAUUUCCAUUUAUAGUUGUAUAGCUAGCUAGUUAAUGGAAAGUUGGUGGUUCUACUCUUAAUAGGUGCCUCUCUUUGUCCAAAACAAUGCCAUUAAGGCAUAUUUUCCUUUAUCUGUAAAGCUGGACAGUCACCAUAACAAGAUAAUUAUUGUAUCUGUUUAAUUUCAAAAGAAUUUAGCUUAUAGUGUUAAAUUUUGCAAUGUUGUUCUGUUAACCCCAGUGACAUUUCAGAAAACCCAAACAUGUUGGCUGGAUUGCUAGGUUCAUGUCGGAAGUUGUGAUGGAGGAUUUAUGUUGGAAUGUGGAUGGUUGUGUGACAUUGGUGAAAUGAUUGUUGUGACAUUGGUGAAGUGUGAUUGUGCUGGAAAGUGACAUGAUGGAGCAUUGGCCAUGGACACUGAAUUGCUUGAGUGGCAUCAUGUGUGAUUAUGGAUGGAUGUCAGAAUGUGGAUGGUUAACGCACACCUGUGACAGAGUAAUGAAGUACUUGACAAGCACAAGGAUGUGGAUGGCAAAGUGUAUGUGUUGGAAAGAGGCAUGAUGGAGCAAUUUGACCCUGGAGUUGCACCAAAUGUGAUGAUGGACCAUGGAGUUGCACCAAAUAUGAUGAUGGAUCAUGGAGUUGCACCAAAUGUGAUGAUGGACCAUAGAGUUGCACCAAAUGUGAUGAUGGACCAUGGAGUUGCACCAAAUAUGAUGAUGGAUGUGGUAUUUCACUGACCAUUAAGUUGCAUCAAAUGUGAUGAUGGAUCGAUGUAAGAAAGUGGACUGGGACAGAGUAAUGAAGUACUUGACAUGCAUGGUGGAAGUUGAUCGAGACUAUCAAUUCUUCGAGAGGUCCAGCGACUAUAUACUCGCAAGAAGGAUAUGGUAUGGAAUAGCUUUCUACACCUCUGUGCUGGCAGAUUUGUAAGAAUGGAAGUUGUUUCAAUGUGGAGAGAGACAGACAUUUUGUAUGGUCAGGUAAAAUUUGUUUUUGAGGUCACAAGUAAGUCUCAAUAAAGGCAUUUCCAUUUAUAGUUGUAUAACUAGCUAGUUUAUGGAAAGUUGGUGGUUCUACUCUUAAUAGGUGCCUGUCUUUGUCCAAAACAAUGCUAUUAAGGCAUAUUUUCCUCUAUCUGUAAAGCUAGACAGUCACUAUAAUAAAAUAAGUAUUGUAUCUGUUUAAUUUCAAAAGAAUUUAGCUUAAAGUGUUAAAUUUUGCAAUGUUGUUCUGUUAACACCAGUGACAUUUCAGAAAACCCAAACAUGUUGGCUGGAUUGCUAGGUUCAUGUCGGAAGUUGUGAUGGAGGAUUUAUGUUGGAAUGUGGAUGGUUGUGUGACAUUGGUGAAAUGAUUGUUGUGACAUUGGUGAAGUGUGAUUGUGCUGGAAAGUGAAAUGAUGGAGCAUUGGUAAAUUAUCUAUUUUGAAUUUGUGUAAGUCACAAGACAGCUUGAGUGCAACAUGUAUUGAGGUUCAAUUUUUCAAUAGUUAAGUGAUAAAUCAGUUACACAUUCCUUAGUUGAUUAAAUUGUCUUUUGUAGCUUUAAAGUCUAUAACCAUGUAGACUGGAAUGUCCGUUGUUUUACUCUGGUACCAGCCCUUG
This is a long non-coding RNA of Ruditapes philippinarum (Manila clam), 2883 nucleotides long. RefSeq lists it as uncharacterized. Lineage: Eukaryota; Metazoa; Mollusca; Bivalvia; Venerida; Veneridae. The record is from RefSeq and is a predicted model, not a curated record. The transcript is spliced from 3 exons.